UACGUAGGGAGCAAGCGUUGUCCGGAAUCAUUGGGCGUAAAGCGCGCGUAGGUGGCUUCGUAAGUCCGUUGUGAAAGUCAAAGGCUCAACCUUUGAAAGCCGAUGGAUACUGCGGAGCUAGAGUACGGAAGAGGCGAGUGGAAUUCCUGGUGUAGCGGUGGAAUGCGCAGAUAUCAGGAGGAACACCAAUAGCGAAGGCAGCUCGCUGGGACGUUACUGACACUGGGGCGCGAAAGCAUGGGGAGCGAACAGG
Molecule: ribosomal RNA, 253 nt
Filed under: uncultured bacterium
Lineage: Bacteria
Description: partial 16S ribosomal RNA
Rfam family: Bacterial small subunit ribosomal RNA
Source: RNAcentral